RNAcentral lists this ribosomal RNA (476 nucleotides) under uncultured bacterium. RNAcentral describes it as "bacterial SSU rRNA". It matches the Rfam family "Bacterial small subunit ribosomal RNA", at positions 8 to 526 of the family's 1533-position model. The record is from RNAcentral.
AGAGUUUGAUCCUGGAUCAGAGCGAACGCUGGCGGCAUGCUUAAGACAUGCAAGUCGCACGGAGGGUUUCGGCAGUCAGUGGCGGACGGGUGAGUAACACGUAGGUAUCUGUCCUGGGGUGGGGGAUAACCGGGAGAAACUAGGGCUAAUACCGCAUAAGGACUGAGGGCGAAAGGCGCGAGGCGCCUGGGGAGGAGCCUGCGUACGAUUAGCUUGUUGGUGGGGUAAAGGCCUACCAAGGCUUCGAUCGGUAGCUGGUCUGAGAGGAUGAUCAGCCACACUGGGACUGAGACACGGCCCAGACUCCUACGGGAGGCAGCAGUGGGGAAUAUUGGACAAUGGGCGCAAGCCUGAUCCAGCAAUGCCGCGUGGGUGAAGAAGGUCUUCGGAUUGUAAAGCCCUUUCGGCGGGGACGAUGAUGACGGUACCCGCAGAAGAAGCCCCGGCUAACUCCGUGCCAGCCGCCGCGGUAAUUC